This 461-nucleotide ribosomal RNA is filed under the name uncultured bacterium. Its description in RNAcentral is "bacterial SSU rRNA". It matches the Rfam family "Bacterial small subunit ribosomal RNA", at positions 29 to 534 of the family's 1533-position model. The record is from RNAcentral.
AACGAACGCUGGCGGCAUGCCUAACACAUGCAAGUCGAACGAGACCUUCGGGUCUAGUGGCGCACGGGUGCGUAACGCGUGGGAAUCUGCCCUUGGGUUCGGAAUAACUCAGAGAAAUUUGAGCUAAUACCGGAUGAUGACGUAAGUCCAAAGAUUUAUCGCCCAAGGAUGAGCCCGCGUAAGAUUAGCUUGUUGGUAGGGUAAUGGCCUACCAAGGCGACGAUCUUUAGCUGGUCUGAGAGGAUGAUCAGCCACACUGGGACUGAGACACGGCCCAGACUCCUACGGGAGGCAGCAGUGGGGAAUAUUGGACAAUGGGCGAAAGCCUGAUCCAGCAAUGCCGCGUGAGUGAUGAAGGCCUUAGGGUUGUAAAGCUCUUUUACCAGGGAUGAUAAUGACUAGUACCUGGAGAAUAAGCUCCGGCUAACUCCGUGCCAGCAGCCGACGGUAAACGUAGCGUG